UAGGGAAUCUUCCGCAAUGGACGCAAGUCUGACGGAGCAACGCCGCGUGAGUGAAGAAGGAUUUCGGUUCGUAAAACUCUUUUGUUAGAGAAGAACAGCGCAUAGAGUAACUGUUAUGCGUGUGACGGUAUCUAACCAGAAAGCCACGGCUAACUACGUGCCAGCAGCCGCGGUAAUACGUAGGUGGCAAGCGUUGUCCGGAUUUAUUGGGCGUAAAGCGAGCGCAGGCGGUCAAUUAAGUCUGAUGUGAAAGCCCCCGGCUCAACCGGGGAGGGUCAUUGGAAACUGGUUGACUUGAGUGCAGAAGAGGAGAGUGGAAUUCCAUGUGUAGCGGUGAAAUGCGUAGAUAUAUGGAGGAACACCAGUGGCGAAGGCGACUCUCUGGUCUGUAACUGACGCUGAGGCUCGAAAGCGUGGGUAGCAAACAGG
Molecule: ribosomal RNA, 429 nt
Filed under: Bacteroidota bacterium
Lineage: Bacteria; Pseudomonadati; Bacteroidota
Description: Bacteroidetes bacterium partial 16S ribosomal RNA
Rfam family: Bacterial small subunit ribosomal RNA
Source: RNAcentral